Molecule: ribosomal RNA, 463 nt
Filed under: uncultured bacterium
Lineage: Bacteria
Description: bacterial SSU rRNA
Rfam family: Bacterial small subunit ribosomal RNA
Source: RNAcentral
CCAGACUCCUACGGGAGGCAGCAGUGGGGAAUAUUGCACAAUGGGGGAAACCCUGAUGCAGCGACGCCGCGUGAGUGAAGAAGUAUUUCGGUAUGUAAAGCUCUAUCAGCAGGGAAGAAAUAGCGACCUUUGGGUCGCCAGACGGUACCUGAUUAAGAAGCCCCGGCUAACUACGUGCCAGCAGCCGCGGUAAUACGUAGGGGGCAAGCGUUAUCCGGAUUUACUGGGUGUAAAGGGAGCGUAGACGGCAGCGCAAGUCUGAAGUGAAAUGCCGGGGCUUAACCCCGGAACUGCUUUGGAAACUGUGCAGCUAGAGUGCAGGAGAGGUAAGUGGAAUUCCUAGUGUAGCAGUGAAAUGCGUAGAUAUUAGGAAGAACACCGGUGGCGAAGGCGGAUGACUGGACGACAACUGACGGUGAGGCGCGAAAGCGUGGGGAGCAAACAGGAUUAGAUACCCCCGUAA